This 465-nucleotide ribosomal RNA is filed under the name uncultured bacterium. Its description in RNAcentral is "partial 16S ribosomal RNA". It matches the Rfam family "Bacterial small subunit ribosomal RNA", at positions 28 to 507 of the family's 1533-position model. The record is from RNAcentral.
GACGAACGCUGGCGGCGUGCUUAACACAUGCAAGUCGAACGGAAAGGCCCCUUUGGGGGUACUCGAGUGGCGAACGGGUGAGUAACACGUGAGUAACCUGCCCUUGACUUCGGGAUAACUUCAGGAAACUGGGGCUAAUACCGGAUAGGAAUCCUUGCUGCAUGGUGGGGGUUGGAAAGCUUCGGCGGUUUUGGAUGGACUCGCGGCUUAUCAGCUUGUUGGUGGGGUAGUGGCUUACCAAGGCUUUGACGGGUAGCCGGCCUGAGAGGGCGACCGGCCACAUUGGGACUGAGAUACGGCCCAGACUCCGACGGGAGGCAGCAGUGGGGAAGAUUGCACAAUGGGCGGAAGCCUGAUGCAGCAACGCCGCGGGCGGGAUGACGGCCUUCGGGUUGUAAACCGCUUUCAGCAGGGGCGAAGCUUGUGGUGACGGUACCUGCAGAAGAAGCACCGGCUAACUACGUG